GAUGAAGAACGCAGCGAAAUGCGAUAAGUAAUGUGAAUUGCAGAAUUCAGUGAAUCAUCGAAUCUUUGAACGCACAUUGCGCCCGCCAGUAUUCUGGCGGGCAUGCCUGUCUGAGCGUCAUUUCAACCCUCAUGCCCCUAGGGCGUGGUGUUGGGGAUCGGCCAAAGCCCGCGAGGGACGGCCGGCCCCUAAAUCUAGUGGCGGACCCGUCGUGGCCUCCUCUGCGAAGUAGUGAUAUUCCGCAUCGGAGAGCGACGAGCCCCUGCCGUUAAACCCCCAACUUUCCAAGGUUGACCUCAGAUAAGGUAGGAAUACCCGCUGAACUUAAGCAUAUCAAUAAGCGGAGGA
Molecule: unclassified non-coding RNA, 348 nt
Filed under: soil metagenome
Description: partial contains 5.8S ribosomal RNA, internal transcribed spacer 2, and large subunit ribosomal RNA
Rfam family: 5.8S ribosomal RNA (bases 1-120)
Source: RNAcentral